AGGCAUUAGAUCAGUAGGUUGAGUUAGCGUUGGAAUAAGGGUGGGGGUUAAAUAUGGAUAAUAUUUCUCAAAAAUGCAGUUAUUUCAUGUUCAAGCAUAUGCCAUCUGUGCAGGGUGUUUGAUAGCCUUGUAAACACAGAAGGGAUUUUGUUGUGUCUGUGAUUCAUCUACAAGUGAAUUAAUGUUUUAGAAUGGGAAGCACAGCUCAACAGCCAGGGGAAGUGGAGAAGAGUGUGUAGCCCUGGCCUGGAUGUUCAGGCGGAGGGAGAUCGGUACAGGUGGGACUCAAGCUGUCUGAACAGUGCCUCCAGUGUGUGGGUCAGAGAAGGGGCAGGCCACAUUUGCCUCUAUUCAUCCAUGGAUCCCAAGCAUCCCGACAGAAGGGGUCCCAGGGGCAGCGGCAGAGCCCAAGACUGCCCAGCCUUGUGUGAGUGGGGACAGACCGUGACAAAAGGAGGCUCUUCUCCGACAAAACCUCCGCUCCCUUCACCCCAUUUUCUUCUGCGCCUGAGCCUGAAAGAAGCAUAACCGCUUGAAAUGUUCUUCUUGCGCCGUAUGAAAGGCAGCAUCAACUCCUGCACAGGGAGCUGCUGAAGCAGCAGCCUGGUGCUAGCGGAAGGCAGCUGAGCAGAAACCCCUGCUGUGCACCUGAAAGAGAAGCAGGGCAUCUUUACUUGCCCUGGCCAGCAGCCUGUUGUGCAUUAAACCUUACAGCUUUGGCUGUUUUCAGUAGUUUAUUGCUUU
Long non-coding RNA from Numida meleagris (helmeted guineafowl), 744 nucleotides. RefSeq lists it as uncharacterized. Lineage: Eukaryota; Metazoa; Chordata; Aves; Galliformes; Numididae. The record is from RefSeq and is a predicted model, not a curated record. The transcript is spliced from 3 exons.